RNAcentral lists this ribosomal RNA (493 nucleotides) under uncultured bacterium. RNAcentral describes it as "bacterial SSU rRNA". It matches the Rfam family "Bacterial small subunit ribosomal RNA", at positions 33 to 507 of the family's 1533-position model. The record is from RNAcentral.
CGAACGACGCUGGCGGCGUGUCUUAAGCAUGCAAGUCGAGCGGCAAGGAAGUGCUUGCACUUCCCUAGAGCGGCGGACUGGUGAGUAACGCGUGGGUGAUCUACCUCGGGGGUUGGGGAUAGCCAUUAGAAAUAGUGGGUAAUACCGAAUACGCUUCCAGGGCUACGGCCGUGGAAGGAAAGGCGCUACGGCGCCGACCUGAGAUGAGCCCGCGUCCCAUUAGCUAGUUGGUGAGGUAACGGCCCACCAAGGCGAUGAUGGGUAGGCGGCCUGAGAGGGUGUACGCCCACAUUGGGACUGAGAUACGGCCCAAACUCCUACGGGAGGCAGCAGCUAAGAAUAUUCCGCAAUGGACGAAAGUCUGACGGAGCGACGCCGCGUGGAUGAUGAAGGCCGGAAGGUUGUAAAAUCCUUUUGUCGGGGAAGAAUAAGCGUGGGAGGGAAUGCCCGCGUGAUGACAUGAACCGGCGAAUAAGCCCCGGCUAACUACGUG